This 443-nucleotide ribosomal RNA is filed under the name uncultured bacterium. RNAcentral describes it as "partial 16S ribosomal RNA". It matches the Rfam family "Bacterial small subunit ribosomal RNA", at positions 338 to 795 of the family's 1533-position model. The record is from RNAcentral.
CCUACGGGUGGCAGCAGUGGGGAAUAUUGCGCAAUGGGGGCAACCCUGAUCCAGCAACGCCGCGUGAAGGAAGAAGGCUUUCGGGUCGUAAACUCCUUUUCUCAGGGACGAAGCAAGUGACGGUACCCGAGGAAUAAGCCACGGGCAACUACGUGCCAGCAGCCGCGGUAAUACGGAGGGGGCAAGCGUUAUCCGGAUUUACUGGGUGUAAAGGGGGUGUAGGCGGGAAUGCAAGUCAGAUGUGAAAGCCACGGGCUCAACCUGUGGCCUGCAUUUGAAACUGUAGUGCUUGAGUACUGGAGGGGCAGACGGAAUUCCUAGUGUAGCGGUGAAAUGCGUAGAUAUUAGGAGGAACACCAGUGGCGAAGGCGGUCUGCUGGACAGCAACUGACGCUGAGGCGCGAAGGCGUGGGGAGCAAACAGGAUUAGAUACCCUUGUAGUC